CUAUGGACAACUUGCCAAGGAAUGUUGUACUCACUUCCUCUGUUGGUCUUGCGGUUUUGACAACCGGCUGGGCGUAUGCCAUUGGUGUUUUCGAUUGGAACAGAAUGGGGGACAGUGAACCUUCGGAUCAACAAGGUGUUGUGUAGACGCACCCCAUGAAUAAUCUAUGAGACUUUUAUAUUUAUGUAAGAGAAAUGAAAUGGUGCGGACAAGGAGAAGACUGUAUGCUUGUUAAGUAAGGCCUUGUUUAGAUCCAAAAUUUUUUCUGUUUUUGACACUAGCAAUUUCGUUUUUAUUUGACAAACCUUGUCCAAUCAUGGAGUAACUAGACUCAAAAAUUUAAUUGGAUGUUUGACUGUUUGGUUUGUGGAAUGAAGCUAUCUAUCACAAUUUCACUACUUAGUUUUUUUUGUUUGGUUUGUGGAAUAGAAUAAGGCCUUGUUCAGUUCACAAAAAGCAUGGUUUUUGGCUACUGUAGCACUUUCGUUUUUAUUUGACAAACAUUGUCUAAUCACGGAGCAAUUAGUUUUUAUUUUUAUCUAUAUUUAAUGCUCCAUGUAUGCGACCAAAGAUUCGAUGUGACGGAAAACCUUGAAAAUUUUUGUGAACUAAGCCCUUGUUUAGAUGCGAAAAGAUUUUGGAUUUCGCUACUGUAGCACUUCAGUUUGUUUGUGGCAAAUAUUGUCCAACUAUGGACUAAUUAGGAUCAAAAGAUUUGUCUCGCGAUUUACAGUUAAACUGUGCAAUUAGUUUUUAUUUUUGUCUAUAUUUAAUGCUUAAUGCAUAUGCCAAAAGAUUUGAUGUGAUGGGAAAUCUUGUGGUUUUCAGGUGAACUAAGGCCUUGUUUAGUUCGCAAAAAUUUUCAAGAUUCCCCGUCACAUCGAAUCUUUGGUCUCAUGCAUGGAGUAUUAAAUAUAGACAAAAAUAAAAACUAACUGCACAGUUUACCUGUAAUUUGUGAGAUGAAUCUUUUGAGCCUAGUUACUCCGUGAUUGGACAAUGGCCUUGUUUAGUUCGGAAAACUUUUUGGUUUUCGGAACUGUAGCACUUUCGUUUUUAUUUGAUGAACAUUGUCCAAUUACGAAGUAACUAGGCUUAAAAGAUUCAUUUCGCGAUUUACAGGUAAACUGUGCAACUAGUUUUUAUUUUCGUCUAUAUUUAGUGCUUCAUGCAUGUGUCACAAGAUUCGAUGUGACGAGGAAUCUUGAAAAAAUUUUAGAUUUUGGGGUGAACUAAACAAGGCCAAUGUUUGUCAAAUAAAAACGAAAUGCUACCGUAGCCAAAAACAAAAAUUUUUGCGAACUAAACAAGGCCUAAACAAGACCUAAGUUGAUCUGUCGCCACCUUGUUACUCCCAAGCUGAAAUGUGGUUAUUAUACUAAAUUUGAGCAAUUGAAUAAAUUUGAGCAAUUGACUCCUGAUGCAUCACUCGGUCACUCCAUCUAAAAUGGGUUGACGUCCGAAACCAAACACUCCAAAAGAGCAUCUCUAGUAGUUUCCACUAAAUUGUUUGGUAAAUAAAUGAGUUUUUCAACUAAAAAUAGGAGGAUUGUUGACUUUCUCCAACGUUUACAAUAUUUUGCUAAAAAAAAAAGACUUGGCCCACUCGACACUCAUGCUCACUGCUUCCUCCCAACUGCUUCCUCCCUAACUUCCAGAACUCACUGCUUCCUUCCCCACUUCCAGAACUUGAGUGACUCUAAAAUACUAUUCUUCACUUGGCCCCCAACACAAUCUAUCAUGGUAUUGGUAAUCACUUCAGUUAGCUCUUUAGCCAUCUUCUUAACCUUGUCCUCGUCCACAUCAUUAGCCAUGUUUUUGAGUUCUUCGGCUAACUUGAUAAACUUUUUCGACGCUACCUCCGCCACAUGUGGUGCUACCACCUCCAUAACUAGGUAGCAGCCUAAAAUUAUACCUACUAGGAGCCAACCGAAGAAGUAAAGUGGUAGCAGCCUGACUUGAUUCUUCAACUUCUCACUCUCGAGCUCCAUCUCACGCCUAUGAUUAACAUAAACAACAAUCAAACCAGAAUGUUUGAGUUAAAUAAGAUGCUUCAUUUCAUAUUAGACGUCUCAUACAUACUAAGUCAUAAUAAGCACAGCAAGAUUCUUAACAAAAGACACACCAAGAUUAUGCUAAAUAACAUGCAUACUAGGACAUUUAUUAGUUAAUUGGUUGAGCACCAUUAGUUUCAGUGGCACAUCACUUUACAAGGUCGCACAAGGUCUUAGGUAUGUUAACUGAGAUUUACUAGGGUCAUGAGCUAGCUUUAGUAUACGUACACAACAUCAAGCUAAAAGAAUCAACUUAGGCAAGCAAGAUUGUGGACUACAACACAACAAUUACUUGUUUUAACCAUAACUACAAGCAUCCAACAAACAUGGUCCUUAGCUUUUUGGAAAGCUUAUUAAGCUUUAUACAACUUUCUUACUAUUAUCACUCAGAGUUGAUUCAAUAACUAACAAGGUCAAACAUUACCAAGAAGCAUUUUUGUCUAGACUUAGACAAAAUCUGACAUUAAGCUUUAGAUAUUUGCAACUGGAGUUCUAGUUUACCAAAAGUUGUGUUCUUUAACAUUUUGGAAAGCUUUUUAGUUACUCAAACAACCACACGCAAGAAAAUCAUCACAUAGACAAACUAUCCAUUACUUAUUUUAUUAACAAGAGAGCAUAAAACAUAUGCCAUUCAAGAGCUCAACCAUUACUAGCAUAACUCAACAACAUUUCAUAAGAAUCAUCACAAGAAUUACAUACAUGUUCAUUUAUUAGCAAAACUUUCUUACGUUUUAUAGAUUAAAGAGAUAUUUAAUAAAGGGGCGGUAUGGCAAACAUUUAGUUUGGACCUGAGAUUUUUAUGGUUGGAAGAGGUUGUCAAAGCAUGACUACUGUAGAAACAUUACAUGCUCAGGUUUAAUAGAUUAAUUAUUUCAAUAAGAACAAGUUUUUAUUGCAAUAAAACAUGUGAGAGUAAGUUAAAUCUAAAGAUCCACAUUUUCUGUAUAUCCAUGCACUUAUAACUGAAUAAACAGUAAACGUAAUAGAGAUGACGUGCUGAUGAGUUUACCUGACCAAAAGACUGAACUUCACAUGGAGGUAGACACAGGUUUCAAUACGACGGACAUGGAACUGAAGCUUGGCCAAUUUUGCCAUGAUUUUGCUUUGAUUCUGCAGUCUUGGCUUCAAGGACUCGUCAUCACCGCCAGACUUCUGGCCACCAGAUUUCUCAUUGCCACCGGCUGUGGAAGAGUAGCCACGCCGACCGGUUAUACCCAACACGGUGGGGAUGGUGCAGAACCGAGAGCCGUUGGGCGCGGCACCAGCGACGGCGGCCGCCUCCUUGGCGCCGACCCGGGCGCGGUUCUCGGUCUUGGGGCCCUCAAGGCCGUUGGACCCAGCAGCAGGGAGGAGCAGCGCGACGAAGAGUCGUGGGUGCGUCGGCACUAGAAGCACGCGCGAGGCGGAGAGGAUUGCGGCGGCGGCGGCUGCUGCCAUAGGGCACUCAAGCGGCGGCCCCAGGAACGCAGCGCCGCGUGGUCCUAGCGCGGCGUCCUCGACACAGAGCAUCGCACCGCCGUAGUCGCCGUUCGUGCCGUAGGCAGAGUCGACCACCAGGAACGCGGAGUCACCUCCUCCCAUGGCGAAGGCAAAUCCACUGCCUUGGGCACCGGUGGUGAUGGGGACGGCGAGGGCCAGGCACGAACGAUUGGGCGCGGCGCCGCCAGCGACGGUGUCCGCCUCCCUGGCGCGGACCCAGACGUGAUCGUCGGACCCGGAAGGGAGGGAGAUAGGGCGCUCGAGCGGCGGCGCCAAGAACGCAGCGCCGCAUGGCCCUAGUGCGGCGUCCUCGACGCACAACAUCGCCCCGCAGUAGUGGGCAGAGUCGACGCCGACGACCACCAGGUGCGUGUAGUCACCUCCUCCCUCGGCAGCACCGCCGGGCUCCUGAGCGUCGCGAUGGCCCACGGAGAAGGGAAAUCCACCGCCUUUGGCUCCGGUGGUGGUGAUGAGGAUAGCGAGGGCGAGCCGCGAACGGUUGGGCGCGACGCUGCCAGCGACGGUGUCCGCCUCCCCGGCGCGGACCCGGGCGUGGUCGUCGGACCCGUCAGGGAGGAGCGGGGCGAAGACGAACCUUUGGAGCACAGGCGCCAGCAAGCGCGGGGCUCCGGGGAGGAUGGCGGCGGCGAUAGGACGCUCGAGCGGCGGCGCCAAGAAGGUAGCGGCACGCGGCGAGAGGGUGGCUGCGCGGCGAGACUGCUUGCCGGCGGCGCGAGACAGUAGCUGAAGCGGGGUGGGGGUUCGCGACGAGCCAGUGGGGUUUUGGGGGGUUAUGGAGGAGGCGGCGGCGGUGGUAGGGCGCUGGAGCGGCGGCGCCAAGAAGGUAGCGGCCGUGCGGCGGGACUGCUUGCCGGCGGCGCGAGCCAGGAGCUGGAGCACUCCGGCCAUGUCUCCGGGUGGGGUUUGCGGCGAGGCAGUGGGGUUUUGGGGGGAGGGGUAAACGAAGGCGGCGGGAGGGGGAUCAGAGCAGGCAGGGUUUUCCUCCGUCCCUCACCGUUGCCAAUGACAAUGGGUUUCGAGAGGCCGAGAGGGGAGUGGGUGGUUAAAGCAAAACUGGCUGAGGCGAAGGGAAGCGGGGACGUACGGCAGUGCAUGUGGCGACAAUGGAGGACGAAGCCCUGCUGCUGCUGCUGCGCUGCGACUGCGAGUGCUUUUCUGUUUCGCUCUUGCUCAGGCUCGUCGGCAGUCGCCUCUGUCUGGCCUUCCUCUCCAUGAGUUUUGAGUGCGUAGCAUCGUGGUGCGUUAUUCCGCCGGCCGUCGGUACACCACCAGGUAACUACGUGCAGCACGGACCGCCGGAGACCGGCCGGCAGGCCGGGCGUAGAGGUAGUAGAGCUCUAUCGCCUCGUCUCGUCGAAUGUGAGGAGAUCAGAAUGCGUCGCACGCCAAACCCCACGCGGCCGUCAGGCGUCAGUGACCGGUCACACUGACCUACUGCGCGCGCUGCCAAUGGGCGCCACACUGGCCUUGUAUUCCAUCUCAAAACCUAAAAUUUUUUAAGAUUUCUUUUCAUAUCGAAUCUUUAAACGCAUGCAUAGAGUAUUAAAUAUAGACAAAAAUAAAAUCUAAUUGUACAGUUUGGUCGGAAUUUAUGAGACGAAUCUUUUGAGCCUAGUUAUUCUAUGGUUGGACAAUAAUUACCACAAACAAACAAAAGUGUUACAGUGUCGCGAAAUUUUCCCUUCAGAAACUAAACGCGGCCUAGUUGGAUGUGCCACUCGAUGUGACGAAUAAUCUUAGGUCUGGUUUACUUCAACCAAAAAACCAAAAAAAAUUAAAAUUUUGAAUCUUGUGGCAAAUACAUAAAACAUUAAAUAUAGAUGAAAACAAAAACUAAUCAUACAAUUUACCUGUAAAUCGUGAGAUGAAUAUUUUAAGUCUAAUUAGUUUAUAAUUAGAUAAUAAUUAUUAAAUAAAAACAAAAAAGUUAUAGUAUGUAAAACUAUUUUUUUUGGAAUUAAACAAGACAUUAAUCCCUUGGGAAGAAAGGGCCGGAACGAAAGGCUGCUUGUAGCCGAUCGUAGUCCUUUAGACAGAGGGUGUGUGUGGGUGGCCGGGGGGGGGGGGGGGGGAGCACGCUACUAUCUACAAGUUCAAACACAUGUGUGUCACCAAACUAUACUGUUGAUUGAUGCAUUUCUUUUAUAUAAGAAGAAACUAAUUAAGUCAAGUUAAAAGUUAAACAACUAUUUACUUAGGUAGGACAACUAAAAUGAACUACACGUACUCCCAUGUGAUAAAUAAAAAAAAUAAUUGGCAUGUUUAACUUUAUUACAGAGUAUUCGUUAUUUUAUGCGCUAGAUUCUUAAGAUGCAUCAAGUGAGAUUUUGUAACAAGUAUAUCUGAAUACAACACAUAAAUAUAUACAUUUCAAUUCUAAUAUUCGAUCAAAGUUUUCAUCAUAAAUUAAUUAAUGUUUUCCUUAGCGGAGGAGUGCUUAUGUAUGGGUGUGCGUCAUACGGUGUCAUCUACUACAUGCGCGCGGUGAAAUACUAUACGGCUAGCAGACGGAAGGCCCUGUUUAGAUUGUAGAUAAAAAUUUUUUAGGUGUCACAUCAGAUGUGUCGGAAGGAUGUCGGGAGGAAUUUUUAGAAACUAAUAAAAAAACAAAUUACAUAGCUCGUCAGGAAACUGCAAGACAAUUCUAUUAAGCAUAAUUAAUCUGGCAUUAGCACAUGUGGGUUACUGUAGCACUUAAGGCUAAUCAUGGAGUAACUAGGUUUAAAAGAUUCAUCUUGCGAUUUUUAACUAAACUGUGUAAUUAGUUUAUUCUUUUAUUUACAUUUAAUGUUCCAUAUGCAUGUGUCCAAAGAUUCGAUGGGAUGGAUAAAAAAAUUUUGGGUGAGGAACUAAAGAGGGCCUAGUACACGCUUGGAGCCUUUGGUGCCAUAGCCCAAAGUAAUACCAGCUGUCUCCACUCUUUAGUAGCAGUAGCAGCGGGUGUUUGGCUGGGGUUGUUAAAGUUUAACACAUACUGUAACAUUUUCAUUUUAUUUGUCAAUUAGUAUCAAUCAUAGUCUAAUUAGACUCAAAAGAUUUGGUUCGUAAAUUACUUUUUAGUUUUUUAAAUAGUCUAUAUUUAAUACUCUAUACAUGUGCCUAAACAUUCGAUUUGACGGGAGUUAAAGUUUAAUAACUGGACCAAACAGGGUACUUGGUCUGUAAAUAACUGUCUUUUACGCUUUACAAGAAAUAAUUUUAAUUACAUAGAUAUUAAUAAUAUUAAUAUUUAUGAUACAUAAUUAGUAUCAUUAGAAAGAUAUUUGAAUCUAGUUUUUUUAAUAAUUUUAUAAAAAUAUAAAUGUUGUACGUAUUUCCUAUAAAUUAAAUUAAACUUAUGGCAUAUACAUCAGCGAUGACAAUUAGAUUGGGACGCAGGAGUAAGGCCUUGUUCAGUUCCCAAAAUUUUUUGAUUCGGGAUACUGUAGAACUUUCAUUUUCAUUUGACAAUUAUUGUCUAAUAAUGGACUAACUAGACUUAAAAGAUUCAUCUCGCGAUUUACAGGUAAACUGUGUAAUUUGUUUUUUGUUUUCGUCUAUAUUUAAUGCUUCAUGUAUCUGACGAAGAAUCUUAAAAAAAAAAAUUCGUUUUUGAAGUGAAAGAACUUGGGCCUAAAGUAAUACUCCUCUACAAGUACAAGUACAAGUACAAGUACAAGGGCACAGUAAAAAACCCGGAAACUCUCAAGCAGAGGCUGUGUAAAAACCAGCAAUGGCUGCCUCCUACUCCUGCUACGGUACCAGUACACCGAGGCCUUGGUUAGUUCAAAUUUUUUUAUAAAAUGUACACUGUUGUAUUUUUGUUUGUAUUUGAUAAAUAUUGUCCAAUUAUAGAUUAAUUAGUCUCAAAAGAUUCGUUUCAUAAAUUACAAAUAAACUGUAUAAUUAGUUAUUUCUUUUAUUUAUAUUUAAUGUUUUAUAUAUGUGGUGUAAAAUUCGAUGUAACAAAUAAUAUGAAAAAAUUUGCAAACUUUUUUAAAACUAAACAAGACGCUACACCUAGCACCUGCAACUCCUAUUGGAACGGUCAAAAGCCAGAGAUAACGCACGAUCACAUCACGCAAUUGGCCCGCCUCGCCUCGGUUCUCUGAUAGGCAGCUUUUGAACGGUGAAGAUAGUACAUGCCCAGAUGUACAUACCACCAGACAUUUUCGCACUGCCGGGUGCCUGCCUGAAUUCCUUUCUGUCUGUACUGCUCCGCCCGGUGCCUUCUAUCAGCUCCCUCCACCGCACCAUCCAUGCUCUCCUCUCCUCUAGUACCGUAGGCUGUUGGCUACCCUUGUUUAGUUUGUAAAAAAAAUUAAGAUUUUCCGUCGCAUCGAAUCUUUCGACAUAUACAUUGAAUAUUAAAUAUAUAAAAAAAUAAAAAUUAAUUACACAGUUUAUCUAUAAUUUACGAGACGAAUCUUUUAAGUCUAGUUAGUUUAUAGUUAGACAAUAAUUAACUAAUACAAACGAAAAUGCUACGGUUUCUAAAAUCCAAAAAUUUUACCAUGUGAACAAGACCUAAAACCAAGGCUGUUGGCUCUUGUUCUGCCGCCUGUUAGCCUCUCGCCUCUCCACACACGACUCAACCUGCUUUCACCGGCUAUACAUUUUUUUUUUGGAAAAAAAGGGAAUUCUGCCAAUGCAUAAAAAGACUCUUUUUAUGUAGUGUGUACAUAAACAAAAAUUACUCCAUCUGUUUUUGCAUGAAUCAGGCCCCGUUUAGUUCUAAAAAAUUUAUAAAAUUUUCUAAAAUUCUUCAUCACACCUAAUCUUUGGACGCAUGCAUUGAGCAUUAAAUAAAAAUAAAAAAUAAAUAAUUGCAUAGUUUUGCGAAACGAAUCUUUUGAGCCUAAUUAGUCCAUGAUUGGACCAUAAUUAUCAAAUACAAACGAAAAUACUACAGUAACCAAACCCAAUUUUUUUCACCAACUAAACAAGGCAUCAAUUCCUAGAAUUCAUGUCAGUCAGACCUUUUUAAGUUUGACUAACUUUAUAAAAAAGAGGAAUGAUACCUAUGACAUAAAAUGAACAUCUUAUGAAAAUAUAUUGUAUGAUAAAUCUUAUUAUACUAAUAUGAUACUAUAAAUUCUAUUUUUUUAAAAAAAUGGUCAAAUUUUAAAAAUUUAACUUAAGAUAACUUUGGAAAUCUAUUUAUUUAGGGACUGAGGGAGUAUAUCAUCAAUAGACUAAUAUUCCAUGUAUCCUUUAAUACAAACUAAUGUUGAAUUUAUUAAAGUAAUUGAGGAUAAAGAUGUAUUGUGAGUAACAUUUGAUAGUCAAAGUACGUUUCUAAAGACUUUUUUCUUCACAAAUCCUAUAUGCAUUAGACAAAUAAACGAAGGGAGUAUUAUUACUAACGGAGAUGAUGUAGGGCCGCAACCCUAUUCUGUUGUACUACUUUAGUCGUACUUUUCAUUGAAUAAACAAUAUUUUUUAUCACAAUAUUUCAACAUAAGCCAAAUUUUAGCAAAACUACUCGGACCAAGUGAUUAUACACAUCCGUUUGCGCUGCCAGUAGAAUAUUUGCCCACUUCAAAUUAUGGCACUCGUUUGAUUAUAUUAAUGCACAACAGUGAGGUUGUAUAAUAUGAAUCUUACUUUUAUUACCAAUUCUUAUGAAAAAAAUUACAAUUGAUGAUUUUGGCAGACACUCCACUUGACCACCUAUGCACUACGCAAGUGGGCCCAAACCCUUUGGAAAUACUCUUAGUUGAUUAUAGAGGAGGUAGACACAAGAUGAUUUUGGCAGACACGCCACUUGACCACCUAUAUGCACUACGCAAGUGGGCUCAAACCCUUUGGAAAUACUCCUAGUUGAUUAUAGAGGAGGUAGACACAAGAAACGAUCGACCACUGGAAAUUGUGUUUUUAGAUGGGGUUCCUUGUGCGAGUCGACAAAAACCAUUCAAACUUUUUUACAAUUUUUAAUCUUCUCAAUGAAGUCGUGUUCAGAAUGAAAAUUUAUGGAGGGUAAUAUCGUCUCCAUGCAUCUAUAGUAAAAUUUAUGUAUUGUUUGCAAACUUUUUGGCAUACACGUUUGAAAAAUUUAUGGAGGGUAAUAUCAUCAUUGUGACAUCUUUUCCUUAUACUUCACACGUGUACGACAUUCCGAAUACUUAUACAAAAAUAAUUGUGAGAAUUACAGUUGUAGAAGGGGAUACACAUGAUAUAUGCCCCAUAAAAUCUCAUUGGAACACAAUUUAAUUAAAUGGACUAAAAAUACAAUUGGAGGUGCUUUUAGCCUUUUUCUUAUCAACAUUAAGAGGUGGUUCACAAAAAGGAAUUGUAUAUGAAGAUAACCAUUUUUUACGAGGGGGUAUCUUAAUUAUGUAAACUGCGUCUCGAAAUCACUUCCUGCAGCAAAGGUUCAAGAAAGGCUAUUAGCAAAAACUAUGUGGUGGUAUGGUAUCUGUUUAGAAAGGUUCUUAAGGAAAAUCGCGUGAUUCUAUGGGUCCUUUUUGUAAGUAAACAUACUACUAAGUACUAACAGAUGACAAAUUUGUUUCAUAAAAAAUAAAAAAACAAAGGACAAAUUUCAUGAUCAGCCCCAUGUCCUUUUUUAACUAAGUAGUGCCGGCCACCAACGUCAGCUCCAUGUUCAUCGAAAAUUUUACAAAAUGGUUACUGUAACACUUUCAUUUGUAUUUGAUAAUUAUUGUCUAAUUAUAGACUAACUAGACUCAAAAGAUUUGUCUCGCAAAUUACAAACAAAUGCAAUUAGUUAUUUGUUAUCUAUAUUUAAUUAAUGCUUCAUGCAUGUGUCGCAAGAUUCGAUGUGACGGAAAAUAUUAAAAAAAUUUACAGUUUUUUUAGAACUAAACAGUAAAAGUCUUCUUUUCCAUUUUGCAUCCCGGAAGAGACAGAUGUUCUCUUUUAUUUUUAUUUUUAUUUUUAUUUUUUUUAGAAAAUAAGAGCAGACUACAUACUUCAAAAGGAGAAGACUACAUACUUCAAUAUUGUGUUGAGUUAAAUUCUCCAACCUUAAUUAAGUUUAUAGGAAAAUACACCAAUAUUUACAUGUAAACAAAUAGUUUCUUUAGAAAAUAAGAGCAGAUAAUAUUUAAAGGAAGAGAAAAUCUUUUUUUUUUUUUAAAAAAAAACAUAGAGGAAGAGAAACUUUUUGUUUUUUUUACAACUCUUCUACGAGAAGACUCCGUGUAUUCCAGCAAACAUGUGUUUUCUCAAGGACUUUUGUGUGAAAAUUGUGGUCCACUCGUAUUCCUGGACGCGAGCGAAACCGAACCGGAGACAGACACGACGAGCUGCCCGAUUCCUUCCCCACAUCCAUCGUCAAAAGGAGAAGAGAGAGAGAGAGAGGAGCAAACCCUAGCUCCAGCUUGCCUCCUACUCCGCCAUCAUCCAGAUCCGGCCGGUGCGUGCGAUGGCGCUGCGCGUUCUGGCCCGUAAGCUGAGGUUCCCUGCCACGUCCGUUCUCCAGCGGGCGUCGACCCCCGUGGUGUCGCCGCCGGCGAGCUCCCGACUUCUCACCUCCCACUCCUCUCAGGUGCGUGUUCUCCGUUUUCUGCUCUGGAUUAUAUUGAUCAGCGGAGCAAUCUUCUUCUGAGAUCAUGAGCGCGCGGUUAAUAUUGCGAGCUGGACUGGAUUCGCCUCCAGCUGCAGGACCGUACCUGAUGUUUGUCCCAGUAUGGCUUAGGAUUUCACUCGCAUGGUGCAAGGAUUUUUGUUUCCUCUAGUUGAUUGAAUUGAAUUCUAAAGCAGAUCACUGUAGCCCGCUAUUCUGAUCGAAUAAGUUUUUUCUUUUUUCAUCGAAGUGUGAGAGCUGAAUAAGCUAAGGAGGAAACGAUCGAUCAUGUAGAAAGGGAAAAAUUGGGAUUAGUCUCUUUAUGCAUUAAACUGUUGACAGAUGAAUCAGGUGUCACCUUGCUUUGUCGUCGAAAAUUUUAACCGGAACUUCUCAUGUCGGUUUGUGUAUGAGAGUAAUAUAAUAUGGAAGAUGAACUAUCUAUUCUCUUCUUCUAUCAUUUACCUGGUACUACAGAACUGUCAUGUUUUAGUAAAUCGUUUAGAAGUACGUGAUGUGUACAAUCUUGGUUAUUUUCAUCUUGACCCUUUUCUGUAAGUAAUCAAUAAGACUUUUAGGAAACAGUGUCUCUUGUGCCAUAUUUCUUACUCAACUUUUAAUCUAAAAGGACAUGUCUUUUUAGUUAGGAAUUAUUUGGCCAUACUUAGACUAAGCUGGAGUCCCUGCCUUAUGCAUUUGUAGUUCAGCUUCAGUAGCCAUUCUAUUUGUCUGUUUUCGAUCACCAUAUGCCAAAAUAGCUUAAGGGCAUAUAGAUAAAUGUGUUUUCUCAAACAUAAGCCAUAACCCUUCAAGCACCUUCUGGGCUGCUGCUGCCCACUGCUUGUUGCACACCUGUACCACCUCUCUUCUGAGCCUUUACCCCGAUUGUGUCCAUCGGAUGAUUGCUAUGUUGAAAUUACUCCAGAUUAAUAUAUUGACUGGGUUUCGAAUCUCUGCUAGCAAUAUGAAUCUAAGUAAAUGGGGACACAAGCUGAACUUGAUGUAUGUGACGUGGGCAUGAGUGAGAAGCUCACUGUAAGUUGGACCAAACUCUCAGUAUAUGUGUGUAUUGUCUACUGCUAAGCUUGGCCAAGUUGCUCUCCUACCAAAAGGCACACUACAUCUGCCUCCGGUCCAUCCAACAUCAGGAACUUAUUUGGUCCUUGUGGGACUGCUGUUUCUUUUCCAAAUAAUGCGCAUUAUGGCAGAAUUUUAUCUAUUAUAUGUAAGAGAGUAUGUAGGAGAUAUACAAGGCCCAACUUGGCAAAUUACAAAAUUCUGAAACAAUUGGGCAGUUCCUUCAAUGUAGAUAUUAGGAUGGGUGUGAGUAAAGCUAUGUGCUCCCUAAUCUAGAAUAUAUCAGCAACCUUUUUUUUUUGUUUGUUGCACCAUGUACUCAAGAUGACUUUGAACUGUUUGGUUCUGCACAUGGCUUUCCUAAACUGUUUGCCUAAUUCUCUAAUCUGCUAGUGGUGUCACCUAGUCUGUCAAAUUUGCAAUAGAGCGCCUGGUUGUCGUUUUUAAGGACUUACUUUUUAGUCUGUUCCCAGCUUUUCAUGACUUUCUAAAUUUAGUUUUCUGAGAUACCCAAGGUUUAUGCUACUUGGAUGCUAGCACUAAUCAACUUCUUUAUUUUUUUUUUUUCUUGAAGCAAUUAUCAUGCAUGGUCGAUCACUCUUGCAGUCUACCUUGAACUGAGUUUCCAAUGUUAACAUGUGCCUCAGUUUGGUUUAAGUUUCCUUCUGAUCGUUUUAAAUAAUUGAAAAUUGCAGAGUGGAGGAGCCAAGAGAGCAGUGAAUGAGACCAGGAAUGCUCGACCAAGGUGGAGGAAUUACAAAAAACUGGAGAAGCGUUUUUUGUAAGUGAAACUUUAAAUUGCUUCCAUUUGAUUUCACCAAAUGGUAUGAUCCUAGUAUGUAACCUUUCCUGUGUUAUGUUUGUAUAAGGCGCGAUAUGGAGAAGGACAUGAAGAAUUUCAAGGAGCUUUCAUUAGCUAUGGACAACUUGCCAAGGAAUGUUGUACUCACUUCCUCUGUUGGUCUUGCGGUUUUGACAACCGGCUGGGCGUAUGCCAUUGGUGUUUUCGAUUGGAACAGAAUGGGGGACAAUGAACCUUCGGCUUAACAAGGUGUUGCGUAGAUGCACCUCAUGAAUAAUCUAUGAGACUUUUAUGUUUAUGUAAGAGGAAUGGAAUGGUGCGGACAAGG
RNAcentral lists this long non-coding RNA (13271 nucleotides) under Sorghum bicolor (sorghum). Its description in RNAcentral is "long non-coding RNA (SBIC_LNC001921)". The record is from RNAcentral. Lineage: Eukaryota; Viridiplantae; Streptophyta; Magnoliopsida; Poales; Poaceae.